CUACGGGUUGCUCCAGUGGGGAAUAUUGCACAAUGGGGGAAACCCUGAUGCAGCAACGCCGCGUGGAGGAUGACGCAUUUCGGUGUGUAAACUCCUUUUAUAUAGGAAGAUAAUGACGGUACUAUAUGAAUAAGCACCGGCUAACUCCGUGCCAGCAGCCGCGGUAAUAAGGAGGGUGCAAGCGUUACUCGGAAUCACUGGGCGUAAAGCGCGCGCAGGCGGUCUGAUAAGUUGGAUGUGAAAGCCUACGGCUCAACCGUAGAACUGCAUCCAAAACUGUCAGACUAGAGUCUGGGAGGGGAAGAUGGAAUUAGUUGUGUAGGGGUAAAAUCCGUAGAGAUAACUAGGAAUACCAAAAGCGAAGGCGAUCUUCUGGAACAGUACUGACGCUGAGGCGCGAAAGCGUGGGGAGCAAACAGGAUUAGAUACCCUGGUAGUC
RNAcentral lists this ribosomal RNA (439 nucleotides) under uncultured bacterium. RNAcentral describes it as "partial 16S ribosomal RNA". It matches the Rfam family "Bacterial small subunit ribosomal RNA", at positions 339 to 795 of the family's 1533-position model. The record is from RNAcentral.